AAUCUUUGGUGGAAGAAUGAAGUCCAGACUAUGAAGCCUAAAGGAAGAACUGCUACAUAGAAGAAAAUACAUCCUGUAUACUGUGUACAUUUAAUUCAGAGGACAAUGAGAAGUAAAUUCAUUCUUUUCCUGAGACUUGGAAGAAAUUAAAUACCACUUUUCCCCCACAUCCACAUUCAUGGAAGAAACAGAAAGCUGAAUCGGAUGACAAGGAGCUGGGAACUAUUACUGCAAAGUCUCAGGUGGAUGUUAGACAUACGGAGAGAAAAGUAGACGCUUGUGAUUCAGUCAGCUGUUAAAGCUAUGAAUGUUUGCUCUUUGAUGUGACUGGGAUUAAUUUAUUAUUUCAUGACAAAAAUCAUGAAUGUUUGAUGACUGCUUAGUGUACAUAACUCUGAAAUCAUGUAAGUAUCCCUUGUUUAACCUUUGAGAUGAAUAGUUUAGCCAUAUAUGCCCAG
This is a non-coding RNA of Taeniopygia guttata (zebra finch), 458 nucleotides long. The record is from RefSeq and is a predicted model, not a curated record. Lineage: Eukaryota; Metazoa; Chordata; Aves; Passeriformes; Estrildidae.